CGGCGUGCCUAAUACAUGCAAGUCGAGCGAAGUUUUUCUGGUGCUUGCACUAGAAAAACUUAGCGGCGAACGGGUGAGUAACACGUAAAGAACCUGCCUCAUAGACGGGGACAACUAUUGGAAACGAUAGCUAAUACCGGAUAACAGCAUAAAUCGCAUGAUAUAUGUUUAAAAGUUGGUUUCGGCUAACACUAUGAGAUGGCUUUGCGGUGCAUUAGCUAGUUGGUGGGGUAAAGGCCUACCAAGGCGACGAUGCAUAGCCGACCUGAGAGGGUGAUCGGCCACACUGGGACUGAGACACGGCCCAGACUCCUACGGGAGGCAGCAGUAGGGAAUCUUCCGCAAUGGGCGAAAGCCUGACGGAGCAACGCCGCGUGAGUGAAGAAGGAUUUCGGUUCGUAAAGCUCUGUUGUUAGGGAAGAAUGAUUGUAUAGUAACUAUAUACAGUAGAGACGGUACCUAACCAGAAAGCCACGGCUAACUACGUGCCAGCAGCCGCGGUAAUACGUAGGUGGCAAGCGUUGUCCGGAAUUAUUGGGCGUAAAGCGCGCGCAGGUGGUUUAAUAAGUCUGAUGUGAAAGCCCACGGCUCAACCGUGGAGGGUCAUUGGAAACUGUUAAACUUGAGUGCAGGAGAGAAAAGUGGAAUUCCUAGUGUAGCGGUGAAAUGCGUAGAGAUUAGGAGGAACACCAGUGGCGAAGGCGGC
Molecule: ribosomal RNA, 706 nt
Filed under: uncultured Bacilli bacterium
Lineage: Bacteria; Bacillati; Bacillota; Bacilli
Description: bacterial SSU rRNA
Rfam family: Bacterial small subunit ribosomal RNA
Source: RNAcentral